RNAcentral lists this transfer RNA (72 nucleotides) under Pangasianodon gigas (Mekong giant catfish). RNAcentral's name for it is "tRNA-Glu". Lineage: Eukaryota; Metazoa; Chordata; Actinopteri; Siluriformes; Pangasiidae. The record is from RNAcentral.
UCCCUGGAGGACUAGUGGUUAGGCCACAGCACUCUCACCACUGUGGCUUGGAUUCGAUCCCUGGCCAGGGAA